This 210-nucleotide long non-coding RNA is filed under the name Lathyrus oleraceus (garden pea). RNAcentral's name for it is "Pisum sativum (pea) long non-coding RNA (PSAT_LNC017716)". Lineage: Eukaryota; Viridiplantae; Streptophyta; Magnoliopsida; Fabales; Fabaceae. The record is from RNAcentral.
GGAACUCUCUCCACAAGUUAGACUCGAUAGAUCUUGGGGUUUUUACUCACUAUGCAUCAACACAUGUGGUGUGAGCAAGGUGAGUGACGCACAGAAUAGUAGGAGAUAGGCUACAUAUCUCUUCUAUCUACCAAUUGCCUCAUAUGAGGUCUUUUCCUGCUUGAGGACAAAAGUAAACAAUCACAAACAUUGCCUCUUAAGGAGGACUUC